GAACAAAAAUGUUGUAGUUUUGCGAUUAUAACUGACCUCUAACAGUUGUCCUGUUCUGUGCCUCAAGGGCACUGGUAGUCAGCCCCUGUGUUAACACAAGGGCUCCUUAAGUCAGCAUGGAACAGUCUGUAAGACCACGAGGUGAGGAGAAAACAGGCAGCUGGCUGUCCCCGUAGAGUCCAGUGGGUCCAUGCUGCUCUGGGGCCCUAAGAGUCCUUUGAUGGCCACUGGCUGACACAAACAAAAGCGAGUCUUCUGAUUUGGGUUAUGGUUUAUUGGUAUUUGUGCAUGACCAAUACAUAUUCCUGAAGAUUUCAUUUUUAGGUAAGUUAUGUAAAACAGGUUACCUUCUACAUAAAUUAUUAAAGAUUAUUACAAUUUGAUAGUUACCAAGAAAAGGGGAUUAUGUCACGUUUCCACACAUUUUCCAGCCUUUCAAAUCCAAGUAUGGUGCCUCAGCCCUCACUCAUCUUAGACGUUCUUUGCUGGAGCUUCUGCUUGUCGCCCAUCCCUUCUUGUUUGGCUCAGUGGCUCCUGAUUCCCCACUGUUUACCCCUGGCAUCCUUGUCAUCACCUGCGAGCUGAAGACUUCUCUCACCAGUGCCCUCCUAAAUCCCCAGGGAUUGCGAAGCAACGCAGCUGGCCUAACAGAAUUGACUGAAGAUCGGAGGUUGGCAUGGGGCCUUUGCAUGCUGGAAAGGAAAAAGGCAGAAAGCAGUGGGGUCUCAGCAUAUGACCAUCACAGAUACUGCCUCUCUUCCGGCCCAUGUGGGCCUUUUUGCAAAUCCCUGGCCUCUGCUUCCUACAAACCAGCGCCUCUUCUCCCAUCUUUGCCUCUCACUGAGUCCCCACUCCUUGGUCCCCCAUGCUACUUCUUACCCAGUGGAGGAAACCCCAGGAACCCACAGCACAACAAAUGUGCCUCCCUGUCCAAGGAAGGGGGGGCCUGGAAAUCUGUGUAUUAACCAACUUUGCAGGGGAUUUUCAUGUACAAUAAAAGCUGAGAACCAUUGGAUUAGAGAAAACAUGAUUAGCAGCCUGAACACUGCUGACCUCUUUUUACCCCAUUUCUAG
RNAcentral lists this long non-coding RNA (1074 nucleotides) under Mustela putorius furo (domestic ferret). Its description in RNAcentral is "lncRNA (ENSMPUG00000025159.1)". The record is from RNAcentral. Lineage: Eukaryota; Metazoa; Chordata; Mammalia; Carnivora; Mustelidae.